UUGUCUCAAAGAUUAAGCCAUGCAUGUCUCAGUACAAGCCGCAUUAAGGUGAAACCGCGAAAGGCUCAUUAAAUCAGUUAUGGUUCCUUAGAUCGUACCCACAUUUACUUGGAUAACUGUGGUAAUUCUAGAGCUAAUACAUGCAAACAGAGCUCCGACCGGAGACGGAAGGAGUGCUUUUAUUAGAUCAAAACCAAUCGGCGGCGGGCGCGUUCGCGCGUCCGUUCGCCGCUCAACCUGGUGACUCUGAAUAACUUUCUGCUGAUCGCACGGUCUCGCACCGGCGACGCAUCUUUCAAAUGUCUGCCUUAUCAACUGUCGAUGGUAGGUUCUGCGCCUACCAUGGUCGUAACGGGUAACGGGGAAUCAGGGUUCGAUUCCGGAGAGGGAGCCUGAGAAACGGCUACCACAUCCAAGGAAGGCAGCAGGCGCGCAAAUUACCCACUCCCGGCACGGGGAGGUAGUGACGAAAAAUAACGAUACGGGACUCAUCCGAGGCCCCGUAAUCGGAAUGAGUACACUUUAAAUCCUUUAACGAGGAUCAAUUGGAGGGCAAGUCUGGUGCCAGCAGCCGCGGUAAUUCCAGUUCCAAUAGCGUA
This 599-nucleotide ribosomal RNA is filed under the name Andex insignis. Its description in RNAcentral is "SSU rRNA". It matches the Rfam family "Eukaryotic small subunit ribosomal RNA", at positions 32 to 601 of the family's 1831-position model. Lineage: Eukaryota; Metazoa; Arthropoda; Insecta; Coleoptera; Dytiscidae. RNAcentral also lists the same sequence under 1 other name. The record is from RNAcentral.